UUCCAUGCUCUGUUAUUCCAUAUAGCUGCCAAACACAAUAAAGCUGAUAUCAUGAUUAAAGAAAUUUUAUUUACAAAAAAGAUAACACAUUAUUACCAACUCAUUUAUUCCAUUUGUCAGGAUAUGCAAAGGCUUCGUGUUAAAGUAGGUUACCUCUUCCCUCUAGUGGGGGUAACAACAUAUAUUUCCAGCUGGUUAUGAUAGGUUCAUAUGCUAAUGCAAAUCGUACACACAAGAAAAGAAAAAAAUCUCUCACUCCCUUGCCAUUAGGCUUUUUAAUUUGGUUUUCAAAUACUUGAAAAAAGCUUUGGUGGAUUCCUAUUGUGAAGAAUCAAAGAAAG
Molecule: long non-coding RNA, 341 nt
Filed under: Glycine max (soybean)
Lineage: Eukaryota; Viridiplantae; Streptophyta; Magnoliopsida; Fabales; Fabaceae
Description: long non-coding RNA (GMAX_LNC004447)
Source: RNAcentral